GACGGCGGCGGCGCGGGAGUGCGAGGCGCACACCGGGCGGGGCUGGCGGACAGUGAUGAGCGGGCGUGUGGGGAGGCUGCACGCCGCCGCCGCCCGGAGCAUCCGCCGCCUGAGCUGCUGCUCGCGGCCCGGGCCCCGGCCAUGGAGACGCUGAAUGGCCCCGCGGCCGGCGGCGCCCCGGAUGCGAAGCCGCAGCCGCCCGGCCAGCACCACCGCCACCACUAUCUCCACCCGCUGGCCGAGCGAAGGCGGCUGCACCGCGCGCCCUCGCCCGCCAGGCCAUUUCUCAAGGACCUGCACGGCCGGCCGGCGGCCCCCGGCCCGGCCGCCCCUUCCUCGGGCCGAGCCCCGGCGCCCGCCGCUCCGCGCUCGCCCAGCCUCGCGGGCAAGGCGCCGCCCUCGCCGGGGCCCCCGGCCGCGCCCGGCCGCGUCUCCCGGCGCAGCGGCGGCGCCCCCGGCGCGAAGGACAAGCCGCCGCCGGGCGCCGGGGCCAGAGCAGCGGGCGGCGCCAAGGCCGCUCCGGGCCCCAGGAAGGCGGCGCGCGCGGCGCCCGCCGAGCCGCUGCCCCGGGUCGGGAAGCCGCCGCUCGGGGCCGAGCCACUGCCCGCCGCUGCCAAGGGCCGCAAAGCCAAACGCGGCUCUGGUGUGGUCCCCGCCCGCGCCUCCGGUCCCCGGGUUCCCAUCGUCCCGGUCCCCGCCGUGAUCCUCGCCGUGACCCCCGUGGCCGGCUCCCCGGCCCCCGGCUCGCGCAUCAGCCACACUGACAGCAGCUCCGAUCUCUCCGACUGCCCCUCCGACCCCCUGUCCGACGAGCAGCGCCUGAUCCCCGCCGCCAGCAGCGACGCCGAGUCCGGCACGGGCUCCAGCGACCGGGAACCCCUGCGGGGAGCCCCCACGACGAGCCCCGCGGCUCGGGGGGCGCCUACGGGUAGCCCCGAGCCCUUCCCGCUCCUCGCCGCGCCCCCCGCCGCCUGCCUCGGGGGUCGGAGCAGCCCGAGCGGGGUCCCCGCGGGGUCCCCGGGGCCCGGCGUGGCGGAGGAUGCCGGGGGGUGCGCUCCGCCAGAGCGAACGGUCCCCGGGAACCCCAAGGAGCACGGCCCGGGCGAGCAGCCCCGGCUGGUACCGGCGGCGGCGGCGGAGGAGCUGCUGCGGGAGAUGGAGGAGCUGCGCUCGGAGAACGACUAUCUCAAGGAUGAGUUGGAUGAACUCCGUGCUGAAAUGGAAGAGAUGAGAGACAGUUACUUAGAGGAAGAUGUUUACCAGCUGCAGGAGCUUCGGCGGGAACUGGACCGCGCCAAUAAAAACUGCCGAAUCCUGCAGUACCGCCUCAGGAAGGCUGAGCAGAAGAGCCUGAAGGUGGCAGAGACCGGGCAGGUGGAUGGCGAGCUCAUCCGAAGUCUGGAGCAGGACUUAAAGGUGGCCAAAGAUGUGUCGGUCAGGUUGCACCAUGAACUUGAAACUGUGGAGGAAAAGAGAGCUAAAGCUGAAGAUGAGAAUGAAACUCUCCGACAGCAGAUGAUUGAAGUGGAAAUAUCCAAACAGGCCCUCCAAAACGAGCUGGAGAGACUGAAGGAGAGUUCCCUGAAGAGAAGAGGCAGCCGGGAAAUGUACAAAGAAAAGAAAGCCUUCACUCAGGAUGACAGCGCCGACCUGAGGUGCCAGCUCCAGUUUGCCAAAGAGGAGGGCUCGCUGAUGCUCAGGAAGAUGGCCAGGCUGGGGCGGGAGAAGGACGGGCUGGAACAGGAGCUGCAGAGGUACAAGGCCCUCUACGGGGACGUGGACAGCCCGCUCCCCACGGGGGAGGCCGGCGGGCCGCCCAGCACUCGGGAGGCCGAGCUGAAGCUGCGGCUGAAGCUGGUGGAGGAGGAAGCCAGCAUCUUGGGCCGGAAGAUCGUGGAGCUGGAGGUGGAGAAUCGGGGCCUCAAGGCGGAGAUGGAGGACCUGCGGGGCCAGCACGAGCGCGACGCCGCGGGCCGGGAGCCCCUGCCCGGCGUUCCGACCUCGCCCUUCGGGGACUCCCUGGAGUCCUCCGCAGAGCUGCGCCGGCACCUGCAGUUCGUGGAGGAGGAGGCGGAGCUGCUGCGGAGGUCCAUCUCCGAGAUCGAGGACCACAAUCGACAGUUGACCCACGAGCUGAGCAAGUUCAAGUUCGAGCCGCGGCCGGAGCCCGCGUGGCCGGCGGGGGGCGCGAGCGGCGGAGCGCCCCUGCAGGAGGAGCUCCAAGCGGCGCGGCUGCAGAUCAGGGAGCUGAGCGGGAAGGUGCUGACGCUGCAGCAUGAGAACCAGGCGCUGCUGUUGGGCGCCCCACGCUGUGACCCGGUCGCGCCCCCGGGCCCGCGCGCCCCAAGUCCCCGCGACAGCGACGCUGACAGCGACGCGGGCAAGAAAGAGAGCGAUGGGGAGGACGGCCGCGCGCUGCAGCCCCGGCGGGAGGGCCCCAUCGGCGGCGAGAGCGACUCGGAGGAGACCUUCGAGAAGACGUCGGGCUUCGGCAGCGGGAAGCCGUCGGAGGCUGGUGAGUGCCCGGCAGAGCUGCUCCGCGCUCGGGAGGGCUCGGAGCGCCUGGCGAACAUCAGGCACGAGGCCGAGCGGCUGGAGCGGACCGUGGAGCGCAUCAUCACCGACACCGACGGCUUCACGGACGUGCCGCUGCAGGGCGGUGGGGCCUUGUCGGGAGCCGGCGUCCAGGGCGCCAAGGAGGAGCCCCAGCUGCUGGGGACCCUCAAUGCGAGGAUGAAGGCCUUCAGGAAGGAGCUCCAGGCCUUCCUGGAGCAGGUGGAGCGGCUGGGGGAGGGCCUGUCCCCUCUGCCCCACCUCACCGAGUCUUCCAGCUUCCUGUCCUCUGUGACCUCCGUGUCCCGGGACUCCCCCGUCGGGAACCUGGGGAAGGAGCUGGGCCCGGGCCUGCAGUCCAAACUGAGAGAUCAGCUGGAGUGGCAGCCCGGGCAGGAGCGAGGGGAGGAGCGGGGGCCCCUGCACCUCCGAGCCACACGGGAGCUGCACCGUCGAGCCGACGGGGACGCGGGGAGCUGCCGGCCCGGAGCCCAGAGCUGCUUCAACCUGGAGGUGGAGGAGGGGCACCUGUGUGCCCUGCGGCGGCGGGAGCUGGAGGUGCACAGCCUGGCCCUGCAGAACUCGCUGCAGGAGCAGACCUGGAGUGACGAGAGGUACUUGAUGCAGCGGGAGCUAUGCUCCCUGAAGCAGAACAUCUUCCUUUUCUACGUCAAACUCAGGUGGCUGCUGAAACACUGGCGGCAAGGGAAGCAGGCGGAGGAGGACGCAGAGGAUUUCGUGGAGAGCGAGCUUCCAGAGACCUUCCACAGGCUUGGGGAGCCUGGCGUUCAGGAGGAUGCGAAGGUGGACGGUCCAGACCCAGAUGACGACGGUCCAGGCUGUGGCUUUUCCCUGGGGGAGCAUCCUCCACAGUUUGGUGUGCAGAUCGGUGACCACGGAUCACGGCUGCAGCCCACAGACGGGGGACAGCUCCACAGGCAGGUGGCAGAGAACCAGCCGCUGUUCUGCGCGCUCAAGGCGCUGCUGGAGGAGCUGCGCGUGGAGCUGCGGGAGGACGAACGUGCACGGCGGCGGCUGCAACAACAAUAUGCCGGCGAUAAGGCCUCCUGGGACGUGGAAUGGGCCGCGCUCACAUGCCGCCUGGAGCAGCUGGAAGCGAAGACUGAGAAAAGCUUGGGAGACCUGGGCUCCUCUGCUGACAGCAAAGGGGUGUUCAUGAAGGAGAGGGAGGCACAGCAGAAGCUCCUGGCUGACAGUCAUGGGCUGGUCAUGGACCUGCGAUGGCAGAUCCACCACAGCGAGAAGAACUGGAACCGAGAGAAGGUAGAGCUUCUCGACCGCCUGGACCGGGAGCGGCAGGAGUGGGGGCGGCAGGAGAAGGAGCUCCUGUGGAGAAUCGAACAGUUGCAGAAAGUGAACAGUCCCCGGAGAGGUGGCAGUUUCCUCUGUGAUCAAAAGGAAGGCGAUGUCCACCCCUGUGCCCACACGGGGAGCCCCUGGGCACCCCACCCCACGGGGACGUGGCCCUGCAUGGACACUGACUCCAGCACGUUUGAGGACCAGCCGCUGUCCAAGCUGAAGGAAUCGGACAGGUGCUCGGCCCGGGAGAACCUCUACCUGGAUGCCCUGUCCUUGGACGACGAGCCAGAGGAGCCUCCAGACCGCAAGCCCGAGAGGGAGUUCAGGAACUGCUUCCCCGAGGAAGAAGAAAAUCACAAGGGAAAUCUUCAAAGGGCCGUGUCCGUCUCAUCCAUGUCUGAGUUCCAGCGCUUGAUGGAUGGCUCUCCCUUCCUGCCAGAGAAGGGCCUGCCCACCACCAGCAGCAAGGAGGACAUCACCCCACCCCUCUCCCCAGAUGACCUCAAGUACAUCGAGGAGUUCAACAGCAAGAGCUGGGACGACAGGCCCCCCGACCCCUGGGCGGACAGGACCGAGGCGGGUCGGGCGAGGCCCGAGGCCAGCACCGACCCUUUCUCCGACUCCUCCUGGUACCUCACCACGAGCAUCACCCUGACCACGGACACCGUGACCAGCCCGGAGCACUGCCAGAAGCAGCUCCCGCGGAGCCUUGUCUGCGCCGAGCAGGCCGGGGUGAGGAUGCUGCACAGCCCGCCCGCCGUGCGGAGGCUGGAUGGCACUGUGGUGGCAGGCGGUGAGGGCAGGGCCCGAGGGGGCCCGGGGGACACCAAGGGGGGCUGUUCUGAACACAUUGUUAGGUGGCCCUGUGCCCCCUCCAAGCACCCCCGAGACUACACGGAGGGUGGGCUCUGGCCCCCCGACAGCACCCUCGGUUUCUCCUCCCCGCUGCACAGCCUGGAGACGUCCAAGAACCUGAGUGAUGACAUGAAGGAGGUGGCCUUCUCCGUCAGCGCUGUCUGCUCCAGCCCCAGGGAGCCUCUGGUCAAGGACACGGCCUGCCAGACCAAUGGGUCCCGGACAGCAGGGACGCAGACCAUCCAGACCAUCAGCAUCGGCCUGCAGACCGAAGCCCUGCGGGGCGGCGCCGUCACCAGCAGCCCCCACAAGUGUCUCACACCCAAGGCAGGGGGUGGCACCACGCCCGUGUCCUCCCCCUCCCGCGGCCUCAGGAACAGGCAGCUGGCCCCCGCCAUCGAGAAGGUGCAGGCCAAGUUUGAACGCACAUGCUGCUCCCCCAAGUACGGGUCUCCCAAGCUGCAGAGGAAGCCCCUCCCCAGAGUGGACCAGCCAAGCAGCAGGACCUCCCCGGGGCUGGCCCCGAAGGGCUGCGGCGAGUCAGCCUGGGCCCGUUCUACCACCACUCGGGAGAGCCCCGUGCACACGGCCAUCAACGACGGCCUCUCCAGCCUCUUCAGCAUCAUCGACCACAGCCCUAUGGUGCAGGACCCCUUCCAGAAGGGGGUGCGGGCCGCCAGUCGGUCUCGUUCGGCAGAGCCCCCGCCGGAGCUGGGCCCAGGCCAGGACACGAGCCCCAGCUCCCGAGGCCGGUCGCCCAGCCCGGUCGGGGGUGGCUCCGAGACGUGCAGGGAGGAAGGGGGAGAGGGCACGCCUGCGAGGCAGGACCUGUCUGCUCCCCCCGGCUACACGCUCACCGAGAACGUCGCCCGGAUCCUCCACCGGAAGCUGUUGGAACACGCCUUAAAGGAGGAGCAGAGGCAGGCCGCCCACGGCACCCCCAGUCUCAGCAGCAACGGCCCCGUGGGAGAAAUGACGGUCAGAGCCGAGCCAGGGUCCAUCGAGGAGUUUGUGUCCUGGGAGCGUGUGUGGGCAACAUCAGGCUUUCUGCUCCAGCUGUGUGUGUGAUGAAGAGAGAGGGUUUUGACAGGGUGGACAUAGAAGACCUCUCGUCAGGACCUACAGGAGGAGUGUCUGGAUCCCAGCGCUGGCUUCAGUGCAGACAGUGGGUUCACGUCUCACAAAUCCCAUUACCCUCUCUGUAUGCGUGCGUUCUCUUAGCAGUAAGACCAGGUGAGACGAAUGGAUAAGGUCAAAAUCCUGCCUUCAUACAAUGCGAUUAUUAUCCUUAUCCCCUUAAACAUCACCUAUUAUUAUGUUACCUGUGACCACACUUAUUAUCCACAUUGUCACAUAUUAUUAUGUGAUUAUUAUUAUUGUAUCCCUCCCCCCUUAAGGUUAUUUGCAAAUCAGUCGAUCUUGAAUUCUGCCCUGAUCAUACCCACAUGUGGCAUAACUGGACCACGGCAAGGAUGAGCGAAAUAAAACAAAGCCCGAUGAUGAUGCCGGGGGUGAAAACGGUGGUGAUGUUGGCCUUAUCGUUCACGCAGUGCCAGAGGAGGUUUCCCAGCCCUUGGUCAGACACCCUUAUGUGUAGACCUGGGGGUGAGGCCUGACCCACCAGGAACCCAGAUGCAAAACCUCCACAGCAGUGGAAUCCAGACACCGGUAGGCCUUCUCCAGGCUGGGCAGACAGCAGAUGGUGAAGGUUAGAGAAAGACACACAGGCUCCCUCCCAAGGCUCUGCAGCCCCAGAUGCACAGGUGAGGAGAGGAGGAGAUGUAUUUCCUGUGUCACCUGAUCCACCUGCUGCCCCACAUUUCCCAGUGGGAAAAGGAAUGCUCAGUUUCCCAGUAUAACCCAACAAGAGGCAUUUAACUCAAAAUACAGAGUUUAAAUCUGAAAUAGAUUAAACCAUGUGAAAUUGCCAGUGGCCUACAGAAAUGGCAACACCAUAUGGUUCAACCUAAUAAUAUUGACAGUCUGUGGCCUACGCCUGCCAAAGGUACACGUCUCUGUGAUAAAGCUGUGUGCUCUGAGAAGGAGGUUGUGUUCUCAGGUAACAAAUGGUGUCUUCUGCGGGCUUGUUACCCCAUCCCUCAGGUAAGUGGUUUGCUGCUGCAGAGGGUCUAGCUAGGUGAGUGCCACACCUUCUUGGAAUGAGAGCUUUGUCCCAAGCAUUAACUAGCUUGUCUGUGGUGUCCAUUUAUAUUAGAGACAUUUUGAGUCACGAAUGAAUGCUGCAGGCAAUCUAUGAGACCAGAAAGGAAAUAGUGCUGUGAUUGAGUCAUUAAACCAAGGCAUGAAAAUGGCUUUAUCCAUAUAAAGCUGUGUCCCCCUUUGGUCCUCUGUGAAGUGUCUGUUUGUUUAGAUUUUCUUCUCACUCGGUGUGUUUACUACCAAAAGAGGUGAUGGUUGAUUUAAAGGGGGACCAGGCACGGUGUCAGGGGUUCAGAACUGGCAUGGAGCUCUCACGGGCAGUGUUUAAAUGUCGUGGGCUCUUUUUCCUUUGCUGUUGGAAUUUGGCUUAUUCUAGACUCCAGUGGAAUUAUUCCUCACCUGAACUGACUUACUAUAUUAGGCCCAUUGGAGACCCCAAGACCCCUUCCCAUCCCUCCCUAGACUUGUGGUAGUUUUUUUUCAUUUCAAAAUCAGAAUGAAUUCAGAUUUCCCACCCUCCUCUGAGCCCAUGUGGGAGAAUCUUUCCCGGAGUGCUCAAUGGGACAUCUAACCGUGGGUGAUGAUGGAGUCAUCCCUAGCCAGGAACGGGCACAGUAGGAAACUCCCUUUCUCCCCUCACUCUAAACCCCAUGAGCUACUUAUUCCUCUGUUUCUCUUGAAGACAUAGCACCAUUCUUUCUCUCUAGAAGCUGUGAGCAGGUCUGGUGUGAAGAGAGAGGAUAAUCUGGAAAUGAAUGUCUCAGUGGAAAAUUCGAAGGGCAAGUUUUAGUCUGAGCUGCAGUCAUUUGGUCAUUGUGACUAAAACAAUCUGGCUGUUUAAUGGGCUCUGUUUCAAAAACAGCAGUCGUAGGGUGUUGGAAAUGUUCAAUGCCAAGGGGCAGCUCGGGAAGAAGAGAAGAAUAGCCAGCGGAAGGGAGAGGUCUGUAGCUGUUCUGUCGUGAGGGCCCCUCCUACUCUGGCCAGGCGGGGGCCGGCCUGUGUGCCCGCUUCUGCAGGACCUCGCUUCUCCAGAUGGCUGCCACCAGGCCUGUUGACUUUAAACCUUUACUGUUGUUCUUUUUUAAAAAGUACUUUCAAACCUACUUGCUUUUUCUCUUCUUUGUCUGUCUGUUCUGUCCAGAACCAAACUGUCUUACUAACUGCCCCCUGGGGACUCUAGCCCUGCCUGCCUCACGCCGAACUCCCUUGUUCUGCACUAGCUCCAUCCCUAGAACCCUGCUUCUCCAGGCCCGAGAGACCAGCAAACCGUCGCCCUCCGUCCCGCUGGGCC
RNA transcript from Globicephala melas (long-finned pilot whale), 8179 nucleotides. It is a transcript of the gene named microtubule crosslinking factor 1, with no coding region annotated. Lineage: Eukaryota; Metazoa; Chordata; Mammalia; Artiodactyla; Delphinidae. The record is from RefSeq and is a predicted model, not a curated record.